This 750-nucleotide ribosomal RNA is filed under the name Gymnosiphon divaricatus. RNAcentral describes it as "eukaryotic LSU rRNA". The stretch from base 305 to 460 matches the Rfam family "5.8S ribosomal RNA". Lineage: Eukaryota; Viridiplantae; Streptophyta; Magnoliopsida; Dioscoreales; Burmanniaceae. The record is from RNAcentral.
AACCUGCGGAAGGAUCAUUGUCGAGACCUCGAGAAACAACAAAUCGACGGAAAUUUAUCAACCAAAUUCGCCGCUUUGACCUGGUGGACGAUGGUCGGGUGUGAAUAUCUCGCUCUCUUCCUAGCUCCCCCUUGUCAUGCGGAUAUCGUCAUGCCGUUCUCCCAUCAAGGGACGACGGCAGACGAUUCGAUAAACAUGGCACGAUACGUGUCAAGGAUCUUUAUUGCUCUUGUAGCACUAGGCAAUGGCUUAUUUGAUAGCUUCUGCUUUGCUACAAGAGCUAUUGAAAAGUCAUAUUUACGAUGACUCUCGGCAACGGAUAUCUAGGCUCUCGCAUCGAUGAAGAACGUAGCGAAAUGCGAUACUUGGUGUGAAUUGCAGAAUCCCGUGAACCAUCGAGUUUUUGAACGCAAGUUGCGCCCGAGGCCUUUAGGUCGAGGGCACGCCUGCCUGGGCGUCAUGCCUCGUGUCACUCCGUACAUCUCGUGUCUCCGGCAUCGAGAUAGACGGAAGUGGAGAUUGGUUUACCAUGUCUUUUAAUGGUGUGGUGGGCUAAAGAAUUGAUGUCAACGUUGUUUACGGACACGACUAGUGGUGGAUGGACAAAUAUAUUGGCCGAGACCGAUGUCGUUCCUCCUUUCUUUGGCAUCUAACGCGAACACAACCCUUACGGGGGGGAUCGUCCUCUCUCGCGUUGCGACCCCAGGUCAGGCGGGACUACCCGCUGAGUUUAAGCAUAUCAAUAAGCGG